GUCUACAGCCAUACCACCCUGAAAAUGCCCGAUCUUGACUGAUCUUGGAAGCUCUGCAGGGUUAGGCCUGGUUAGUGCUUGGAUGGGAGAAUGGGAGAGAGAUAGACACCUGUAGCCC
Molecule: ribosomal RNA, 118 nt
Organism: Erinaceus europaeus (western European hedgehog)
Lineage: Eukaryota; Metazoa; Chordata; Mammalia; Eulipotyphla; Erinaceidae
Source: Ensembl